Non-coding RNA from Herpailurus yagouaroundi (jaguarundi), 1176 nucleotides. The record is from the annotation of a RefSeq genome assembly. NCBI's taxonomy places the organism in Eukaryota, Metazoa, Chordata, Mammalia, Carnivora, Felidae.
CUGGGCCCACAAAGUGUUCGGUCCUGGCACACUGCUCAGGGUCACAGCUAAAAGCCCUGAUGAAGACACUUCCCCCAAGCCCACGAUUUUUCUUCCUUCAAUUGCUGAAAGAAAACUCCACAAGGCUGGAACGUAUCUUUGUCUUCUUGAGGAUUUUUUCCCUGAUGUUAUCAAUAUAGAUUGGAAAGAGAAAAAUGGCAGAGUAAUAUUGAAAUCCCAGCAGGGAGACACCAUGAAGACUAAGGACACAUACAUGAAAUACACCUGGCUGACCGUGAGAGAAGACUCAAUGGGUAAAGAACACAAAUGUAUCGUCAAACACCAGAAGAAUAAAGGAGGGGUUGAUCAAGAGAUUCUUUUUCCUUCAAUAAACACAGAUUUGGUGACGGGAUCCAAAGUGGGCUUCCAGAAGGAAUCAGAGACAAGUAGAAACACAAGGCCGGUAACCGUGAGCCCUUCGAGUACACUGUCUGCAUCACCAUUUUCAAGUGCCGCGGAGCUCACUGCUGUUAACUCUACAGAAUCUUCUUUGAAAGACAAAAAUGGUGAAACUAACCGAUGGCUUCCUUUAGACCCCCUGCAGCUGCAGCUGGUGAACACCUCUGCCUACUGCACCUACCUCCUCCUCCUCGUCAAGAGCAUGGUCUACACCGUCAUCACGGCCAUCUGUCUGCUUGGGAGAGCGGCACUCUGUGACAAUGGGAAGAGUUCCUGACCCGUGGUGGCACAGGGUCCAUGUUUCUCCAUUGACUGUUGUCACUAAAAGUGUCUGCUGUGGGUCUAGCGGGGCUUUCUUUCUGGGUGGUUCAUUUCAGUUCACACGUUGUCUUUUUCUAUGUGUCAUCAUUGCAGAAUGGGUUUGCAAACUCCUGGGCAAACAGGAAAUGUUACUCUGCACCAAGAACAGACUCUGCCAUGAGUCAGGGGCGGGGCCGGGGGGCACCCACGGGGGCUUCAGCACCGCUCUCUCCUUCUUGCCCACCAGCUGGUCAGCCGCCCAGCACCCUCGCCUCUGAGUACACUUGGCGUGCAGCUUCCAUAGUGUCCCCUGGGGCUCUGUAUGCAGAUAACUGCCUGGAGGCCUUUUGUUUUACAUUUUUGGAAGCUGCCAUCUUUGCUACCUGAGUUUUGUUCUGUUGUUCAUAACAGGCAUAAUAAAAAUAAUCAAAAGUGUAC